RNAcentral lists this ribosomal RNA (542 nucleotides) under uncultured bacterium. RNAcentral's name for it is "bacterial SSU rRNA". It matches the Rfam family "Bacterial small subunit ribosomal RNA", at positions 777 to 1319 of the family's 1533-position model. The record is from RNAcentral.
AAUAGAUACCCGGGUAGUCCACGCCGUAAACGUUGGGAACUAGGUGUGGGUCUCAUUCCACGAGAUCCGUGCCGCAGCUAACGCAUUAAGUUCCCCGCCUGGGGAGUACGGCCGCAAGGCUAAAACUCAAAGGAAUUGACGGGGGCCCGCACAAGCGGCGGAGCAUGUGGAUUAAUUCGAUGCAACGCGAAGAACCUUACCAAGGCUUGACAUAUACCGGAAACACCUAGAGAUGGGUGCCCCGCAAGGUCGGUAUACAGGUGGUGCAUGGUUGUCGUCAGCUCGUGUCGUGAGAUGUUGGGUUAAGUCCCGCAACGAGCGCAACCCUCGUUCUAUGUUGCCAGCGCGUUAUGGCGGGGACUCAUAGAAGACUGCCGGGGUCAACUCGGAGGAAGGUGGGGAUGACGUCAAAUCAUCAUGCCCCUUAUGUCUUGGGCUUCACACAUGCUACAAUGGCCGGUACAAAGGGCUGCGAAAUCGCGAGAUGGAGCGAAUCCCAAAAAACCGGUCUCAGUUCGGAUUGGGGUCUGCAACUCGACCCC